RNAcentral lists this ribosomal RNA (497 nucleotides) under uncultured bacterium. RNAcentral's name for it is "partial 16S ribosomal RNA". It matches the Rfam family "Bacterial small subunit ribosomal RNA", at positions 28 to 507 of the family's 1533-position model. The record is from RNAcentral.
GAUGAACGCUGGCGGCGUGCCUAAUACAUGCAAGUCGAGCGAACGGACGAGAAGCUUGCUUCUCUGAUGUUAGCGGCGGACGGGUGAGUAACACGUGGAUAACCUACCUAUAAGACUGGGGGAACUUCGGGAAACCGUAGCUAAUACCGGAUAAUAUUUUUAACCGCAUGGGUCAAAAGUGAAAGACGGUGUUGCUGUCACUGAUAGAUGGAUCCGCGCUUCAUUAGCUAGUUGGUAAGGUAACGGCUUACCAAGGCAACGAUGCAUAGCCGGCCUGAGAGGGUGAGCGGCCACCCUGGAACUGUGACACGGUCAUGACUCCUACGGGAGGCCGGAGGGGGGAAUCUUGCACAAUGGGAGAAAGCCUGACGGAGCAACGCCGCGUGGGUGAUGAAGGUCUUCGGGUCGUAAAACUCUGUUAUUCGGGAAGAACAUAUGUGUAACUAACUGUGCACGUGUUGACGGUACCUAAACAAGAAGCCACGGCCAACUACGUG